AUUGAACGCUGGCGGCGUGCUUAACACAUGCAAGUCGUGCGAGAAAGGGGUCUUCGGACCCUGAGUAGAGCGGCGCACGGGUGAGUAACGCGUGGAUUACCUCCCCGAAUGUUCGGGAUAACGGCGGGAAACUGCCGCUAAUACCGGAUACGCUCCCAAUUUCGGUUGGGGGGAAAGGCGGCCUCUGCUUGCAAGCUGUCGCAUUCGGAUGGGUCCGCGUCCCAUUAGCUUGUUGGUAGGGUAACGGCCUACCAAGGCGACGAUGGGUAGCUGGUCUGAGAGGAUGAUCAGCCACACUGGGACUGAAACACGGCCCAGACUCCUACGGGAGGCAGCAGUGGGGAAUAUUGCGCAAUGGGGGCAACCCUGACGCAGCGACGCCGUGUGAGGGAAGAAGGCCUUCGGGUCGUAAACCUCUGUCAGAAGGGAAGAACCCCUGAUAUCCGAAUAGGGUGUCAGGCUGACGGUACCUUCAGAGGAAGCGCCGGCUAACUCCGUGCCAGCAGCCGCGGUAAUACGGAGGGCGCGAGCGUUAAUCGGAAUUACUGGGCGUAAAGCGCGCGUAGGCGGCUUUGUAAGUCGGGCGUGAAAGCCCUCGGCUCAACCGAGGAACUGCGUUCGAUACUGCAAGGCUUGAGUCCUGGAGAGGGUGGCGGAAUUCCGGGUGUAGGAGUGAAAUCCGUAGAGAUCCGGAGGAACACCGGUGGCGAAGGCGGCCACCUGGACAGGUACUGACGCUGAGGCGCGAAAGCGUGGGGAGCAAACAGGAUUAGAUACCCUGGUAGUCCACGCGGUAAACGAUGGAUGCUAGGUGUCGGGGGGCGACCUUCGGUGCCGCAGUUAACGCAUUAAGCAUCCCGCCUGGGGAGUACGGUCGCAAGGCUGA
RNAcentral lists this ribosomal RNA (886 nucleotides) under uncultured bacterium. RNAcentral describes it as "bacterial SSU rRNA". It matches the Rfam family "Bacterial small subunit ribosomal RNA", at positions 28 to 897 of the family's 1533-position model. The record is from RNAcentral.